RNAcentral lists this ribosomal RNA (229 nucleotides) under uncultured bacterium. RNAcentral's name for it is "partial 16S ribosomal RNA". It matches the Rfam family "Bacterial small subunit ribosomal RNA", at positions 568 to 796 of the family's 1533-position model. The record is from RNAcentral.
UACGUAGGCGGAAAAUUAAGUCAGUGGUGAAAUCCUGCAGCUCAACUGUAGAACUGUCAUUGAUACUGGUUUUCUUGAAUAUAGUUGAGGUAGGCGGAAUGUGUAAUGUAGCGGUGAAAUGCUUAGAUAUUACACAGAACACCGAUUGCGAAGGCAGCUCACUAAGCUAUGAUUGACGCUGAGGUACGAAAGCGUGGGGAGCGAACAGGAUUAGAUACCCUGGUAGUCC